Long non-coding RNA from Athene cunicularia (burrowing owl), 1592 nucleotides. Lineage: Eukaryota; Metazoa; Chordata; Aves; Strigiformes; Strigidae. The record is from Ensembl.
GUUUGUGAUAAUAGGGUCAAAAAUUGUUAUGGGCAUGGAAGAGGGGUGACAGCGAAAGGUGCCCUAUUGGAAAUAAUCAUUUGAAUUCUAAUAUUAAAACUAAAAUUACUGAACUAAAUACUUACUCUUCUCUAGGCCUCAAGAGAAAGGUUGCAGUGAAAACACUACCAAAUAUUAAAGAAAAUGUUGAAGUCACCAAAGUGAGCUAUUCACGCUACCAAAGGUCUGUUAGAACUCAUUCAGAUACCCCGUUAUUAACACUUGCUAAUCCUUUAUAUCGGUUUGCCUGCAUGAGAUGUCUCUUGGAGAUACGCAGUCUGAAUUCUCAGUAAACUGAUGUUUGUCAGAGUAUUUGUUGGCACCUCAUAAAGACAUUUUGUAGUUUUUGUUGCCUUCGUCUCAAACUGUAGCUCUGUGUAUUGAGUUUAGCUCUGUUCUUCAUGGCAGUCAUCAAGUGAAUGCCCAAGAAACAACAGACUUGGAAAAAAAAGUGAAAGUAGAAGAAAGCACUGAACUGCUGAAGGAAUCCCUGAUAAUCAACUUUGAAAGUAAAGAAAGUUUGAAAAAUACUGAAGUGACUUCAAGUGCAGGAAUGACUCUUCCCACGGGUGUUUCAACCUUUCUGCUAGAGUGUUUAGAUGUAGGUUCAACUGCAGAUUAUAACACAGGUACUAGUGACAGCCUGAACAGUUGCUCAUCCCCUGAAACAUUCAGAGAUGAUGGUCCAGGUGAGACUUCUGUUUUUUUGGGCUUUAUUUGAUGUAGAAAAUGUGGGGGAACCAUCUACAAUAGAAGGCCUGGUGGCCUCUCUUGGUGUGACUCACCAGGUCAGAUCUUUGCUGGGAGUCAGCCUGUGCUUAGCAGGGGAUCUGUGUAUCUGGUCCUCCAGUCCAGCGUGAAUCAGGCCCUGGUGUACUUUGGAUCAUGCUGUAAACUUCAAGCCUUCACUGUUGACAUAAGCUGGUUUUGGAGGAUGACCAGCAAAUCUGCUUGAGUCUCAUUCCUCCCAAAUUUUUCUGUGGCUGUUUGAGCCAAGGCAAUGCUUUCAGUUUGCAUUAAAGUUCCUGUCUUGCAAACGUGAUUGUGUUUGCUCACAAAUUUAAUAACACAAUGAAUUCCAGCGUAAGCAGCUUGCAGUUUUAUGUCCAGGAAGAAGUAAUUUUUACGCUGAGGACUCUGUGAUGUGCAAGAACUCUACUCUCCUGGACUCCAGCAAAGCAGUGUCCAUAGAUAAGAUACCACAGAUCUCAAAUCUUUCAGCAAUAUUAGGUAAUCAUUUUCUACAAUACUUCAGAAUAUAUACAUAAACAAAUUGCACUCUAGUGCAAGGAACCUGUAUAAAAUAUGCGAUAAUCAUUUCAUUCAUGGCUUGUCUGCAUAAUGAGCAACAGCUCCCUGUUAGUGGUUUGUAUUUGCUUCUAAUAUUUUGCUUUAUAAUUUAGUGUGCACUAAAACAUUGUCUGGUCUGCUUAGCUUUUUUUUUUUUUAAAGCUUAGCUUUUAUGUUUUUUAGAACCUGCACUGGGGAAUUUACAAGACCAACACAUUCAAAGGUAAUCUGCAAAGCAGACACUUUGAUGCACUUUAAUGUUC